GUAGUCCACGCCGUAAACGAUGUCUACUAGCCGUUGGAGUCCUUGAGGCUUUAGUGGCGCAGCUAACGCACUAAGUAGACCGCCUGGGGAGUACGGUCGCAAGAUUAAAACUCAAAUGAAUUGACGGGGGCCCGCACAAGCGGUGGAGCAUGUGGUUUAAUUCGACGCAACGCGAAGAACCUUACCAGGUCUUGACAUCUAGAGAAUUUGCCAGAGAUGGCUUAGUGCCUUCGGGAACUCUAAGACAGGUGCUGCAUGGCUGUCGUCAGCUCGUGUCGUGAGAUGUUGGGUUAAGUCCCGUAACGAGCGCAACCCUUGCCCUUAGUUGCCAGCGCGUAAUGGCGGGAACUCUAAGGGGACUGCCGGUGACAAACCGGA
RNAcentral lists this ribosomal RNA (378 nucleotides) under uncultured bacterium. Its description in RNAcentral is "bacterial SSU rRNA". It matches the Rfam family "Bacterial small subunit ribosomal RNA", at positions 790 to 1167 of the family's 1533-position model. The record is from RNAcentral.